GCUCAUUUCAGGUGCCAAUCUGGAUAAAUGGGGAGACACUCAGGCCCUGCGCCACCCCUCCACGCCCCUAACUUCUGCUGCUCAGAUGCAACGACUUUCAACUCUUUCGUCUACUUCUGGAGUUACAUCACUUCCUGUGUUGCUGAAGAAUCAGAUGUCUCUUCUUGCAUGUCAUCAGUUUGGGGUGGCUGAUUCCGAUCUUCUGUGCAUUACAAAUCACAGCAUGGGAGACAGACCGCGGGCUCCGGAGCGCAGACAGCUGGGUGUUCCCUCACUGUCUCACUGCUGUGUGACUUUGGGCAGACACAUCUCCACUUCAGUUUCCUCAUCUGCCCAACAGGAACAAUGACAGCCAUUCUACAGUGUUGUUGGCCAGCCUAGACAGCUGUGUGUCCUACUUGGACUGCUGUGGGCACUUAAUGAACAGUAGCUAUUCUUUCAUUCAUCCUUUGUUCUCCAACCACAACAGAUCACUCAGGGUUACCCAGACACGCCACAGACUUUCCCUCCUCCCGCCGCUCCCCCCUGCUGCCCCCAGGCCAGGAACGCCCCACCUCCCAUUCUCCACCUCUCAUCCUUCAACAUCCAGUUCAAACUCUAUCUCCUUUCCGAAACCUUCCCCAUUGUCCUCGGAGCCCCAACACUCAACGGUUCACCUGCUUUACAAAGUGUUUUGUUCUGCCUAUUCCGCCUAGAGUUCAGUGUUCACAUACCUGACUCACCAACUUCUCCCUCAAAAGUCAAUGUCUUGUUCAUCUGUUUGUAUCUGCCACCCCACUCCCCAUUCCCUGAGCAUUAGUAUUUAAGGAUGCCUUUUAAACGAGCCUUAGUGGUUCGAUUCAUAUAAGGCCAGCUCAUUAUUUUUUAAAAUCAAUCAAUACUCAAAAUUAUACAGAGCUACAAAUCACCCCAGAUCCCUCUAUCCAGGAAAAUAAAAAUAGAUUCAUAUCGUUCAUCAGCUGUCUCUCCAUCCACAUAUGAACAGAAGCGUGGAGGAUGGAAGAAUGCAGGAAAGGAUGGGUGAGGUUACUUAAUAAAGUAGCUAGGUUUUUUUUUUUUAAAUAAGUAAAAUAAGGAAAGUACAGAAAAGUAAAAUAAAGGAAAAGCUGAACUUUUAAUAAAUGUUUCCCCAUCAGAACAGACGUUGUUUCCUUAAAGAUCCCUCCAAGUUUAAGAGAAGAAAAAUCAGUUGAAAGUUUGGAGCCAUGACACUAACACCCUAUUUAGACAGUGUGAACGAGGGGAAGUUAGCUCGUAACAUCCCUCCCUCCCUCCCCCAGCUCUCCAUUUCCAUUAUAUCCUUUUUACUUCCUCACAUUCUGUUCCUUAGUCUUACAACCCACCCACGCCGAGCUUUUCUCUAUUUGGUGGAUGAGAGCUCACCCAAUGACCUUUUACCACGCCUUCCAAAGUAUGCUUUGGACCAAUCUUUUUCAUCAUCAAGUAGGUUUUCCCAAGAAGGGCUCAUUGUGUUGUAUUUCCUGAGUCCUUGCACUUGUGAGGAUGGCUACCUGCAUUACCCUUGCAAAGGGAUUUGAGUGGAAAAAUCUCCAAUCACACUACCUUUCCCUCGCAACUCUGUAAAUACUUCUUCUCCAUGUUCUCAAGUUUUGCUUCUGCUACAGAUCAAGUCUGAGACCAACAUGGCUUUUCCCCAGGGGCAAAGAUGAACUGCUCCCAAAAUGCAUUUUCCUCAUCUUCCUUUUGAUAACAGAAGACCUUCCCCAAAACUGAGUUUUAAGAGGGCACACAGCUUCCCAGGCAGAGAUGUUUUCCCAGCUUCCUUUGCAGCCAGACGUGUCCAUGUGACUAUGUUUUGGUCAAUGGAGCAUGCGAAGUGAUGUGUGCCUCCACAGAUAGCCCAAUUAUCCUUCUGGAAAUUGUAGUUGUUGUUGUUAUUGGAGGUACUGGGGAUUGAACCCAGGUCCUCCUGCAUGCUAAGCCCGCACUCUACCACUGAGCUCUACCGCUAACCCCAAUUACCCUUCUGAGGGAUCAUCUCAUUACAACCUUCAGAUCUCUGAUUUUCUCGGAUUCAUUUCUUUAUCUUUUUUCUCAGCAUCUACUGUGAUUUUCCUCAAGCCUUCCUUCUCUGUUAGUAAUUUACUUUUCAGUGGAUUCCACUUUGUCCUUUUAUUAACUUUGUCUUGAAUGAUGUUGUUUGUAUCCUCAAUUUUUUCCUUCGCUCUUUAAUUGCCCUUUCCAUUUCCUUCUGUAGUUUCAUCAUUUUGUCCCUAAGUUCUCAAUUGAUUAGUUUUCAAUCAACUUUAUUUUGAAGAAUUAAUGAACGAAUCCCCCUACUGCCUCUUCAACCCAAGAGCCAACUCCAACCCAGAAAUUAUCUUGGGACAUGGGGAGAACAGGCUAAAGGUAUCCCAUUUAUCACUGAGGGAGACCAAAUACUAUUACCCACGUGCCAUGCCUUCCACCUUCCUGAUUCUCCUCAUCCUCUGAGGGACAGACAGCUCAAGGCCUACCUGCCCCAGACUCUUCCAGCCCACAUGACUCUGUCCCUCUCCAGCCCCCAAAGGGGUUCUCUGAACUAAAGGAGUCACAGGUCACACCUCGGCUACUGAGUGAGCUUGGAACUUUUGAGAAAGGAGAUGUAUCUACUCCUUCUCCCUUGUUACAUCUGGUGGGACAAUAAAGGUUUUCUUUGAAGAUUUCUGGGCUACUGAUUCUCUGAAUGAGAAGGAGGACAAAUACUAGAACCGAGACCCAGAAGGUGCCUUCAGCAGCAGACCCACUUGUCCCCAGUUAAUUGUAAGCUGGAGAACACAACGAGACAGGUGGAAGGAAGAGGAUUCAGCAAAAGUAUAACCUUUGAAAGAUGAAUAGAGAGUGAACAAGCACCUUAGCAAGCGAGACCUUCUCAACCUGUCCCUGCAGUCACUGUUGUGAGGGCUGAGCGGGCCUACAUUCAUGUUCAAGCACUUAACUUCCUUGCUGUCUGAUUUUGAACAAGUCACUGAACUUCCUUCAGCCUUUGUUUCCUCUUCUAUUAAAUGGGGGUGAUAAUAGUAGUGCUACCAUAGAGAGGUUAUGAGAAUUACAUUUGGUGAUGCAAGUAAUGGUUCCAGUUUCAUCUUCCAUCACUUCCUGCCUUAUGUGUUCCCCUCCAGGAAUGUCAACCUGCCAUGCAGUUCCCCUACCUAUGCAAAGAGCCAUUUUUCACCCCACACCUCCACUCUUGCAACCCCUUCUCCUUCGCAUGCCCUUCUCCCAGAGGCUAACAGCUCCUACCCUCUAAGACCCAACUUAAGCAUCACCUCCUCCAGAAAGCCCUCCCAGACGCGUACAUUCUUCCCAACCUCGGUGCACACCCAAAUCAUAAUAUUCAUCACACAAUAUUAUUAAUAUCCGCAUGUCCACCUCCAACUAAGCUCUUAAAGGAAGAGA
This is a long non-coding RNA of Camelus dromedarius (Arabian camel), 3399 nucleotides long. RefSeq lists it as uncharacterized. NCBI's taxonomy places the organism in Eukaryota, Metazoa, Chordata, Mammalia, Artiodactyla, Camelidae. The transcript is spliced from 3 exons. The record is from RefSeq and is a predicted model, not a curated record.